This 62-nucleotide transfer RNA is filed under the name Prosopocoilus confucius. RNAcentral's name for it is "tRNA-Asp". Lineage: Eukaryota; Metazoa; Arthropoda; Insecta; Coleoptera; Lucanidae. The record is from RNAcentral.
AAAGGCUUAGUUAAAAAAUAACGUUAAUUUGUCAAAUUAGAAUCACUUAAAAGUAACCUUUA